AGUCACGUGAUCAUUUUUUAACUAACCUAUGGGAGGAGCCAUGAGAGUGACGUAGGCUGCAGAAAUUCACUUCAGUUUAUCAAGAUUUAGUUAUGUCGAUGAAAACGGCCACAGAAACAACAGGAACUCCCUUCGACUUCUGGACCAUGAAAAACAUUUGAACAGAGUGUUUUAGAGUGGCUCAGACCGGUAUAUCUGCCCUUGGGCUAUACGACAGUUAUGGGAGAGUCAGGAACCUGUCGCCUGUCCAGGAUGCAGUCAGGUUACCUCAUUAGUAUAAUCACCUGUAAGAAGACACUUCAAC
Molecule: long non-coding RNA, 304 nt
Organism: Megalobrama amblycephala (Wuchang bream)
Lineage: Eukaryota; Metazoa; Chordata; Actinopteri; Cypriniformes; Xenocyprididae
Exons: 4
Source: RefSeq, a predicted model, not a curated record